Molecule: ribosomal RNA, 253 nt
Filed under: uncultured bacterium
Lineage: Bacteria
Description: partial 16S ribosomal RNA
Rfam family: Bacterial small subunit ribosomal RNA
Source: RNAcentral
UACGUAGGGGGCAAGCGUUGUCCGGAAUCAUUGGGCGUAAAGAGCGUGUAGGCGGCCUUACAGGUCAGCUGUGAAAACUCGAGGCUCAACCUCGAGACGUCGGUUGAAACCGUAUGGCUAGAGUCCGGAAGAGGAGAGUGGAAUUCCCGGUGUAGCGGUGAAAUGCGCAGAUAUCGGGAAGAACACCCGUGGCGAAGGCGGCUCUCUGGGACGGUACUGACGCUGAGACGCGAAAGCGUGGGGAGCGAACAGG